UACGUAGGGUGCAGGCGUUAAUCGGAAUUACUGGGCGUAAAGCGUGCGCAGGCGGUUUUGUAAGCCAGAUGUGAAAUCCCCGGGCUUAACCUGGGAAUGGCAUUUGGGACUGCAAGGCUCGAGUGCGGCAGAGGAGACUGGAAUUCCUGGUGUAGCAGUGAAAUGCGUAGAUAUCGUCAAGAACACCUAUAGCGAAGGCAGCUUACUAGGCUGUAACUGACGCUGAGGCACGAAAGUGUGGGGAUCAAACAGG
Molecule: ribosomal RNA, 253 nt
Filed under: uncultured bacterium
Lineage: Bacteria
Description: partial 16S ribosomal RNA
Rfam family: Bacterial small subunit ribosomal RNA
Source: RNAcentral